RNAcentral lists this ribosomal RNA (755 nucleotides) under uncultured bacterium. RNAcentral's name for it is "bacterial SSU rRNA". It matches the Rfam family "Bacterial small subunit ribosomal RNA", at positions 1 to 770 of the family's 1533-position model. The record is from RNAcentral.
ACUAGUGAUUAGAGUUUGAUCAUGGCUCAGGACGAACGCUGGCGGCGUGCUUAACACAUGCAAGUCGAGCGGUAAGGCCUUUCGGGGUACACGAGCGGCGAACGGGUGAGUAACACGUGGGUGAUCUGCCCUGCACUUCGGGAUAAGCCUGGGAAACUGGGUCUAAUACCGGAUAUGACCUCCUAUCGCAUGGUGGGUGGUGGAAAGAUUUAUCGGUGCAGGAUGGGCCCGCGGCCUAUCAGCUUGUUGGUGGGGUAAUGGCCUACCAAGGCGACGACGGGUAGCCGACCUGAGAGGGUGACCGGCCACACUGGGACUGAGACACGGCCCAGACUCCUACGGGAGGCAGCAGUGGGGAAUAUUGCACAAUGGGCGAAAGCCUGAUGCAGCGACGCCGCGUGAGGGAUGACGGCCUUCGGGUUGUAAACCUCUUUCAGCAGGGACGAAGCGCAAGUGACGGUACCUGCAGAAGAAGCACCGGCUAACUACGUGCCAGCAGCCGCGGUAAUACGUAGGGUGCAAGCGUUGUCCGGAAUUACUGGGCGUAAAGAGUUCGUAGGCGGUUUGUCGCGUCGUUUGUGAAAACCAGCAGCUCAACUGCUGGCUUGCAGGCGAUACGGGCAGACUUGAGUACUGCAGGGGAGACUGGAAUUCCUGGUGUAGCGGUGAAAUGCGCAGAUAUCAGGAGGAACACCGGUGGCGAAGGCGGGUCUCUGGGCAGUAACUGACGCUGAGGAACGAAAGCGUGGGUAGCG